Molecule: ribosomal RNA, 468 nt
Filed under: uncultured bacterium
Lineage: Bacteria
Description: partial 16S ribosomal RNA
Rfam family: Bacterial small subunit ribosomal RNA
Source: RNAcentral
GACGAACGCUGGCGGCGUGCUUAACACAUGCAAGUCGAACGGAAAGGCCCUGCUUUUGUGGGGUGCUCGAGUGGCGAACGGGUGAGUAACACGUGAGUAACCUGCCCUUGACUUUGGGAUAACUUCAGGAAACUGGGGCUAAUACCGGAUAGGAGCUCCUGCUGCAUGGUGGGGGUUGGAAAGUUUCGGCGGUUGGGGAUGGACUCGCGGCUUAUCAGCUUGUUGGUGGGGUAGUGGCUUACCAAGGCUUUGACGGGUAGCCGGCCUGAGAGGGUGACCGGCCACAUGGGGACUGAGAGACGGCCCAGACUCCUACGGGAGGCAGCAGUGGGGAAUAUGGCACAAUGGGCGGAAGCCUGAUGCAGCAACGCCGCGUGCGGGAUGACGGCCUUCGGGUUGUAAACCGCUUUCGCCUGUGACGAAGCGUGAGUGACGGUAAUGGGUAAAGAAGCACCGGCUAACUACGUG